UACGGAGGGUGCAAACGUUGCUCGGAAUCAUUGGGCGUAAAGCGCACGUAGGCGGUCCCGUAAGUCGGGAGUGAAAGCCCUCGGCUUAACCGAGGAAGUGCUUUCGAAACUGCGGGACUUGAAUACCGGAGAGGGUCGCGGAAUUCCCGGUGUAGAGGUGAAAUUCGUAGAUAUCGGGAGGAACACCAGUGGCGAAGGCGGCGACCUGGACGGAUAUUGACGCUGAGGUGCGAAAGCGUGGGGAGCAAACAGG
Molecule: ribosomal RNA, 253 nt
Filed under: uncultured bacterium
Lineage: Bacteria
Description: partial 16S ribosomal RNA
Rfam family: Bacterial small subunit ribosomal RNA
Source: RNAcentral